Molecule: non-coding RNA, 158 nt
Filed under: Endomicrobium sp.
Lineage: Bacteria; Pseudomonadati; Elusimicrobiota; Endomicrobiia; Endomicrobiales; Endomicrobiaceae
Description: 6S RNA
Rfam family: 6S / SsrS RNA
About the family: E. coli 6S RNA was the first non coding RNA to be sequenced, but its function was unknown until recently. It consists of 184 nucleotides that fold into an extended hairpin structure with a large single-stranded internal bulge.
Source: RNAcentral
UUUUCCCUGCGGUGUUGGUGACAUUCUAACUGUAUUUAUUCCUACAAGUCUAAACAGGAGAAUCUAAGACGAGCGUUUGCUCGAGGGCUUAUGCCUCUGAUUCUCACCUGAUACAAGGGCUUUAAAUCUUUUAGAAUGCACGGCAUCGCGGGGUUUUU